GAAAUUGAAGACACAAAGAAGGAGAUGAGAACAACAGAAGAAUGGGGAUGAGAGGAGUACAGAACUUUCACAUAAAACUUGCCUGCUUUAAUUUUUAUGCUACUGUGUAUUUAUAGGUAGGGUCAACUAUCUUAAUUUCUUGCUUCCCACUUCACGCGUUCCACACUCGGAUGCUAAACGAAAUCUGUUAACUUUGUUGGAUACUUUCUCACUCUUGUACUGCGUCUCACACUUUCUGUUACUUGGGGAAUGCUGACCUGGCUGCUAUCUCGG
This 273-nucleotide unclassified non-coding RNA is filed under the name Hevea brasiliensis (rubber tree). Lineage: Eukaryota; Viridiplantae; Streptophyta; Magnoliopsida; Malpighiales; Euphorbiaceae. The record is from RNAcentral.